CACGGAGUUAGCCGGUGCUUAUUCGUAUAGUACCUUCAGCUUCCCACACGUGGAAAGGUUUAUCCCUAUACAAAAGAAGUUUACAACCCAUAGGGCCGUCGUCCUUCACGCGGGAUGGCUGGAUCAGGCGCUAACCCAUUGUCCAAUAUUCCUCACUGCUGCCUCCCGUAGGAGUCUGGUCCGUGUCUCAGUACCAGUGUGGGGGAUCACCCUCUCAGGCCCCCUAAAGAUCACUGACUUGGUAGGCCGUUACCCUACCAACUAUCUAAUCUUGCGCGUGCCCAUCUCUAUCCACCGGAGUUUUCAAUAUUAAUUGAUGCCAAUCAAUAUAUUAUGGGGUAUUAAUCUUCCUUUCGAAAGGCUAUCCCCCUGAUAAAGGCAGGUUGCACACGUGUUCCGCACCCGUACGCCGCUCUCAAGAUCCCGAAAGAUCUCUACCGCUCAGCUUGCAUGUGUUAGGCCUCCCGCUAGCGUUCAUCCUGAGCCAGGAUCAAACUC
This 498-nucleotide ribosomal RNA is filed under the name uncultured Chryseobacterium sp. RNAcentral's name for it is "partial 16S ribosomal RNA". Lineage: Bacteria; Pseudomonadati; Bacteroidota; Flavobacteriia; Flavobacteriales; Weeksellaceae. The record is from RNAcentral.